This is a long non-coding RNA of Daphnia pulicaria, 865 nucleotides long. RefSeq lists it as uncharacterized. The transcript has 5 exons. The record is from RefSeq and is a predicted model, not a curated record. NCBI's taxonomy places the organism in Eukaryota, Metazoa, Arthropoda, Branchiopoda, Diplostraca, Daphniidae.
CUUUCUACGCCUCCUUAUGGGAGGAGUUCUAAGCUAUCGAUUGCAAUCCAAUAGUUAGCUUAACAAUUGAUUUGCAAUCAUGAUUCAGACGAAUUGCAUUGUUGACAAUCCAAGGGCUCGCUCAACGCACAAAUUUAUUGUGUUCUUUUUCCUCCUGAAUACGUAAUAUUUAUUGGAAUUUUAUAAAGGACUUAUCUACGUUAAAUCCUUAAUAACCCUGAAAACUCUCACAAGAGAACUUUCCGAAAAUAGUUUCUCACUUUGAUUUCAUACAAUUAGAAAUGAGUCCUCCAUUGGUGGAGGCAAGUUAAAAGUUCAAGAGUAAUCGGAAACACUGAGAUAGGCUACAUACUACAAAGAACCAGAUCCCAAUCGAGAAAUUCCAACUCAAUAGUCCAUGACUUAAACUUGAAUGGUGAAUGUGAGCACCUGUAUCAUUCUGGGUUCUGCCAAGAAGACCCCAAUACCAACUCCCAUGGACUGACCAUUUCAUCGUGGAUCUGGGAAUGGAAUACUGUCAUUCAGCAGAGAAUGGUCCAGCCAUGAACAAACGAUCCUCAGUACCCACUCCAGUAGUACUUGCACGGAAAGAACGUCGGAGUCACUCACCAUUUGAACGUGACACCUGUUUGGCGAAAAGGGCUACCUGGCCGUGUUGUAGCCAUCGCCAGCAUAUCAGCAUACGACACUUUUGUGAUUGACAUCACAUUUGGUUGAAGCUAACAAGUAGCAAGCUACAAAAGCAUCACAUCAGUUUAUGUGAAUUAAAACUUAAAAGAGCUUUCUCAUCAUUUGUAACCAAGAUGCAGCGUGAAGAGAAACAGCUGGAAGCCGCUUUGGGAGCUUUGCUUCAGAGAAUUAAUGA